This 27-nucleotide non-coding RNA is filed under the name Mus musculus (house mouse). Lineage: Eukaryota; Metazoa; Chordata; Mammalia; Rodentia; Muridae. RNAcentral also lists the same sequence under 1 other name. The record is from RNAcentral.
UGCUGGCUUUGGCUUUGCAAGAGCUGU